GACGAACGCUGGCGGCGUGCUUAACACAUGCAAGUCGAACGGAAAGGCCCUGCUUUUGUGGGGUGCUCGAGUGGCGAACGGGUGAGUAACACGUGAGUAACCUGCCCUUGACUUUGGGAUAACUUCAGGAAACUGGGGCUAAUACCGGAUAGGAGCUCCUGCUGCAUGGUGGGGGUUGGAAAGUUUCGGCGGUUGGGGAUGGACUCGCGGCUUAUCAGCUUGUUGGUGGGGUAGUGGCUUACCAAGGCUUUGACGGGUAGCCGGCCUGAGAGGGUGACCGGCCACAUUGGACUGAGAUACGGCCCAGACUCCUACGAGAGGCAGCAGUGGGGAAUAUUGCACAAUGGGCGGAAGCCUGACGCAGCAACGCCGCGUGCGGGAUGACGGCCUUCGGGUUGUAAACCGCUUUCGCCUGUGACGAAGCGUGAGUGACGGUAAUGGGUAAAGAAGCACCGGCUAACUACGUG
Molecule: ribosomal RNA, 467 nt
Filed under: uncultured bacterium
Lineage: Bacteria
Description: partial 16S ribosomal RNA
Rfam family: Bacterial small subunit ribosomal RNA
Source: RNAcentral